GGGGAUGCAUGGUUUCGACAAUGUGCAGACGAUCUUAGUUGCAGCCCGACAUUGAGGAUGUGUCGUUAAAGAGCCUCAAACCUAUAAAUGACAACUCAAACGUUGCAUUCGCUCUAGCUGCCUGACGGCAGCUUGGCCGGGCGGUGACUGCCUUGGAACAGAAAGUCACUCAGUUUACAGUAACACCCUGCACCACAAUAGCUUGACACAUGGCUGUGUAUAGACUAGGCUAAGAAACACAUUGGACGCGGGUUCGACUCCCGCCAUCUCCAC
This 273-nucleotide transfer-messenger RNA is filed under the name Streptomyces phage Tomas. Its description in RNAcentral is "186". It matches the Rfam family "transfer-messenger RNA". From Rfam's summary of the family: Bacterial tmRNA, also known as 10Sa RNA or SsrA, is named for its dual tRNA and mRNA-like properties. Its role is to liberate the mRNA from a stalled ribosome. The record is from RNAcentral. Lineage: Duplodnaviria; Heunggongvirae; Uroviricota; Caudoviricetes; Stanwilliamsviridae.